This 538-nucleotide ribosomal RNA is filed under the name uncultured bacterium. RNAcentral describes it as "partial 16S ribosomal RNA". It matches the Rfam family "Bacterial small subunit ribosomal RNA", at positions 355 to 885 of the family's 1533-position model. The record is from RNAcentral.
UGGGGAAUAUUGCACAAUGGGCGCAAGCCUGAUGCAGCCAUGCCGCGUGUGUGAAGAAGGCCUUCGGGUUGUAAAGCACUUUCAGCGAGGAGGAAGGUGGUGAACUUAAUACGUUCAUCAAUUGACGUUACUCGCAGAAGAAGCACCGGCUAACUCCGUGCCAGCAGCCGCGGUAGUACGGAGGGUGCAAGCGUUAAUCGGAAUUACUGGGCGUAAAGCGCACGCAGGCGGUUUGUUAAGUCAGAUGUGAAAUCCCCGGGCUCAACCUGGGAACUGCAUUUGAAACUGGCAAGCUAGAGUCUCGUAGAGGGGGGUAGAAUUCCAGGUGUAGCGGUGAAAUGCGUAGAGAUCUGGAGGAAUACCGGUGGCGAAGGCGGCCCCCUGGACGAAGACUGACGCUCAGGUGCGAAAGCGUGGGGAGCAAACAGGAUUAGAUACCCUGGUAGUCCACGCUGUAAACGAUGUCGAUUUGGAGGUUGUGCCCUUGAGGCGUGGCUUCCGGAGCUAACGCGUUAAAUCGACCGCCUGGGGAGUACGG